Salmo salar (Atlantic salmon) is the source of this 421-nucleotide non-coding RNA. The record is from RefSeq and is a predicted model, not a curated record. NCBI's taxonomy places the organism in Eukaryota, Metazoa, Chordata, Actinopteri, Salmoniformes, Salmonidae.
GGGAUCGAAAACGACAAAGAGGAUAAACAGAAUCACUGACCAAAACAACCUGCUCUUGUGCUUGAAAAUCGAUACCCAUCAAUGUCCUGCAGGAUGGGACUUCCGGGAAAAGCUCUUAGACCUUCAUUAGGAGAGAGACAGAGAGGCAAAGCCAAAAGCCAACACCCGCACUCACCCCCACGUUGACGGCCACGCCUCGCCCAUACACGGCUCCCGGCCCUGCAUCAAGGGGCCCGGGAGAGAAGGACAGGCACCAGAAGGAGAGAGGAAACCGAGGGAAAUAAGAGUGAAGAACAAUUCGUAAGGGAAAAAGGAAACAACCAGAGAAAAGGGGGAAGAUUAGGCGAAAAAAGGAGAGGAGAAAGACAGAUGAUGGCGAGAUAAGACACGGAGGCCGACAGAGGAGGGAAUGGAGGAAUGC